RNAcentral lists this ribosomal RNA (116 nucleotides) under Pteropus alecto (black flying fox). The record is from RNAcentral. Lineage: Eukaryota; Metazoa; Chordata; Mammalia; Chiroptera; Pteropodidae.
GUCUAAGGCCAUGCCACCCUGAACAAGCCUGAUGUCUGAUCUUGGAAGCUAAGCAAGGUUGGGCCUGGUUAGUACUUGGAUGGGAGACCACAUAGGAAGGCCAGGUGCUGUAGGCA